GCUUACGGCCAUACCACCCUGAGCACGCCCGAUCACGUCUGAUCUCGGAAGCUAAGCAGGAUCGGGCCUGGUUAGUACUUGGAUGGGAGACCCCCUGGGAAUACCAGGUGCUGUAAGCU
Molecule: ribosomal RNA, 119 nt
Filed under: Betta splendens (Siamese fighting fish)
Lineage: Eukaryota; Metazoa; Chordata; Actinopteri; Anabantiformes; Osphronemidae
Source: RNAcentral